UCAAUGCAGAGUGAUCCUAGCCUCCUUGACACAGUACUGGAGGUCCAAGCUGAAACGAGUAGUGGGACACAGCUGUGAGUGGACAGACGCUCAGAGAGGACACACAACCUGCGCUCUGAGUCUCUGACAGGAUGGACCAUGUCUAGCCAGGAUGAAUCCAUCUAGCUUUCCCAUGAGGCCACACUCUCCAUAGCAACAGCCCUGCACUGAGACUAGUAGUGGGACACAGCCAAGACCGGACACUGGUUCCGUGACAGAACCACACACUUGGACCCCGAGGGGCUUUCAGCAGACUCAACCCUGACAACCAACCAGCUCUCCCAUGAGGCCCCAUUCUCCAUGGGAGCUGGUCUGCCCCAGUGCAGUCGGAGUGUCUGACUGUGCACCUCAUGGAAAGAGGGGACCCUCACCAAGCACAGUAUCUGCUGCUGGGCUUUUACGCACACCGAGGUCAACAAACCCUUCCUCACACAGGAGAGAGGAGAGCCGGAUGUUUUUUUUUACAAGAUUAUGAUAAUUAAGCCUAAUACUAUGAAUUAUUAUUCAUCAAAUAAAGGCCUAUGAUCAAAGCAU
This is a non-coding RNA of Lepisosteus oculatus (spotted gar), 573 nucleotides long. The record is from RefSeq and is a predicted model, not a curated record. Lineage: Eukaryota; Metazoa; Chordata; Actinopteri; Semionotiformes; Lepisosteidae.